CGGCGGGGGAUGGGCAUGCGGCGCAUUAGCUAGUCGGCGGGGUAACGGCCCACCGAGGCGACGAUGCGUAGGGGUUCUGAGAGGAAGGUCCCCCACACUGGUACUGAGACACGGACCAGACUCCUACGGGAGGCAGCAGUGAGGAAUAUUGGUCAAUGGGCGGGAGCCUGAACCAGCCAAGUCGCGUGAGGGAAGACGGUCCUACGGAUUGUAAACCUCUUUUGCCGGGGAGCAACGGGGUCCUUGCGAGGGCCCGAUGAGAGUACCCGGAGAAAAAGCAUCGGCUAACUCCGUGCCAGCAGCCGCGGUAAUACGGAGGAUGCGAGCGUUAUCCGGAUUUAUUGGGUUUAAAGGGUGCGUAGGCGGGCUGUUAAGUCAGCGGUCAAAUGUCGGGGCUCAACCCCGGCCUGCCGUUGAAACUGGCGGCCUCGAGUGGGCGAGAAGUAUGCGGAAUGCGUGGUGUAGCGGUGAAAUGCAUAGAUAUCACGCAGAACUCCGAUUGCGAAGGCAGCAUACCGGCGCCCUACUGACGCUGAGGCACGAAAGCGUGGGUAUCGAACAGGAUUAGAUACCCUGGUAGUCCACGCAGUAAACGAUGAAUGCUAGCUGUCCGGUUCUACG
RNAcentral lists this ribosomal RNA (621 nucleotides) under uncultured bacterium. RNAcentral describes it as "bacterial SSU rRNA". It matches the Rfam family "Bacterial small subunit ribosomal RNA", at positions 216 to 834 of the family's 1533-position model. The record is from RNAcentral.